GGGAUCCCGAUCGACGGCUGCAAUUCUUGUAAACAUUCGCAUGGCUGCCCCAUCUGCACCAACUUCCAUUCAGAAAUCGGAGGAAGAAUGGCGAGCUAUCCUCUCUCCGGAACAGUUUCGCAUUCUUCGCCAGAAAGGAACUGAGCCUCGAGGCACUGGGAAAUAUGACAAGUUUUACGAAGAAGGAAUAUACAACUGUGCAGGCUGUGGAACCCCACUUUAUAAGUCAAGCACCAAAUUCAAUUCUGGCUGUGGCUGGCCUGCUUUCUUUGAGGGUUUUCCUGGAGCAAUUAAUCGCUUUCCGGACCCUGAUGGAAGGAGAACCGAGAUAACAUGUGCUGCAUGUGGUGGGCAUUUGGGCCAUGUUUUUAAAGGCGAGGGAUUCGGGACACCUACAGAUGAACGCCAUUGUGUCAACAGCAUUUCGGUCAAGUUUGCUCCUGCUAAUGCUUCACUGUGAAGCCUUUCAGAGGCAGUCAUAACCUCAGUAUGUAUUGUAGAAUGAUAUGUUCAGUGAUACGUUGCUAAUAAAGACGUAAACUUAAGCAUGAGUAUUCUUACAUAAUG
Molecule: unclassified non-coding RNA, 567 nt
Filed under: Hevea brasiliensis (rubber tree)
Lineage: Eukaryota; Viridiplantae; Streptophyta; Magnoliopsida; Malpighiales; Euphorbiaceae
Source: RNAcentral